This 448-nucleotide ribosomal RNA is filed under the name uncultured bacterium. RNAcentral describes it as "bacterial SSU rRNA". It matches the Rfam family "Bacterial small subunit ribosomal RNA", at positions 114 to 578 of the family's 1533-position model. The record is from RNAcentral.
CGCGUGAGGAACCUGCCUCAAAGAGGGGGACAACAGUUGGAAACGACUGCUAAUACCGCAUAAGCCCACGGCUCGGCAUCGAGCAGGGGGAAAAGGAGCAAUCCGCUUUGAGAUGGCCUCGCGUCCGAUUAGCUAGUUGGUGAGGUAAUGGCCCACCAAGGCGACGAUCGGUAGCCGGACUGAGAGGUUGAACGGCCACAUUGGGACUGAGACACGGCCCAGACUCCUACGGGAGGCAGCAGUGGGGAAUAUUGCACAAUGGGGGAAACCCUGAUGCAGCGACGCCGCGUGGAGGAAGAAGGUCUUCGGAUUGUAAACUCCUGUUGUUGAGGAAGAUAAUGACGGUACUCAACAAGGAAGUGACGGCUAACUACGUGCCAGCAGCCGCGGUAAAACGUAGGUCACAAGCGUUGUCCGGAAUUACUGGGUGUAAAGGGAGCGCAGGCGG